RNAcentral lists this ribosomal RNA (517 nucleotides) under uncultured Glomus. RNAcentral's name for it is "bacterial SSU rRNA". It matches the Rfam family "Eukaryotic small subunit ribosomal RNA", at positions 569 to 1092 of the family's 1831-position model. Lineage: Eukaryota; Fungi; Glomeromycota; Glomeromycetes; Glomerales; Glomeraceae. The record is from RNAcentral.
AGCAGCCGCGGUAAUUCCAGCUCCAAUAGCGUAUAUUAAAGUUGCUGCAGUUAAAAAGCUCGUAGUUGAAUUUCGGGACCAAUAUGUCGGUCGUGCCUCGGUACGUACUGGCAUCGUUGGUUUCUCCCUUCUGACGAACCAUGAUGUCAUUUAUUUGGUGUCGUGGGGAAUCAGGACUGUUACUUUGAAAAAAUUAGAGUGUUUAAAGCAGGCUCACGCUUGAAUACAUUAGCAUGGAAUAAUGAAAUAGGACGUUUGAUUCUAUUUUGUUGGUUUCUAGGAUCGACGUAAUGAUUAAUAGGGAUAGUUGGGGGCAUUAGUAUUCAAUUGUCAGAGGUGAAAUUCUUGGAUUUAUUGAAGACUAACUACUGCGAAAGCAUUUGCCAAGAAUGUUUUCAUUAAUCAAGAACGAAAGUUAGAGGUUCGAAGGCGAUCAGAUACCGCCCUAGUUCUAACCGUAAACGAUGACAACCAGCGAUUAAUCGGCGUUAAUAUAUGACCCGAUUAGCAGCUUACC